AGAGAUGGUGGAAAUCAAUACAGCAAUUGAGUGCAUAGACAGGCAGUUUCAGCAUUCAGCCCAUAUUUCUAGCUAUGAGCCGUAAAACCCAUUGGCAUCUGCAAGACCAUGGGAGUAUUAGAUUCCAUUACAAGUAUUUGUGUGAGGUGUGGACUAGCAGAUAUUUGAUGAGUUUGUGCAAAGCUAAGUUGCCAUCAAAAAUUAAGUGGUUGGUGUGCUGUAAUCUCUCACUUAUACCUGAACUGAAAAGUUGAGUGGGUGACCCUGUAGUUCACUAGUGAUUAGGUGUGUAGCUCUUUUCCUUGCUGCUUGCCAGUUUUGGGUGAACCUGAAAACGUGUGAGUAUUUGUGGUGCCAUUCUAUUAACGAUUGCAAGUUUGCUGGCUGAAUCUGAACGUGUAUUUCCUAGGCCCUGUAGAAUGGCAAGUUUUAUCGAUUUUGCUUAACAAAGUUUGAGUACGCGCAGACUUUUCGAUGGUGAUACGUACCUGCUGCUCCGUUCCCACUCAAAGAUAGUGUAGAUGAUUGGUGCUUGGUCGGCGGAGAUGUGCCGGUCCCUGUGAAGGAUAGCAGGGAAGAUGGUCCCUGUGCUUGUGUCUGCUGAUUGAAGGAGGGGGUUCACUGCUGUCUGAACUGAACUGAACUGAAAUAUGCCAGAAAAACAGAGGUGCUCUGUAGUAGGUAGGUGUCAGAAAU
Molecule: long non-coding RNA, 696 nt
Filed under: Triticum aestivum (bread wheat)
Lineage: Eukaryota; Viridiplantae; Streptophyta; Magnoliopsida; Poales; Poaceae
Description: long non-coding RNA (TAES_LNC028231)
Source: RNAcentral